This 979-nucleotide small RNA is filed under the name Pan troglodytes (chimpanzee). RNAcentral's name for it is "retained intron". Lineage: Eukaryota; Metazoa; Chordata; Mammalia; Primates; Hominidae. The record is from RNAcentral.
GGGCCGCGGGGAUGGCGGCGCAGGGCGUAGGGCCUGGGCCGGGGUCGGCGGCGCCCCCGGGGCUGGAGGCGGCCCGGCAGAAGCUGGCGCUGCGGCGGAAGAAGGUGCUGAGCACCGAGGAGAUGGAGCUGUACGAGCUGGCUCAGGCGGCGGGCGGCGGUAUCGACCCCGACGUGUUCAAGAUCCUGGUGGACCUGCUGAAGCUGAACGUGGCCCCCCUCGCCGUCUUCCAGAUGCUGAAGUCCAUGUGUGCCGGGCAGAGGCUAGCGAGCGAGCCCCAGGACCCUGCGGCCGUGUCUCUGCCCACGUCGAGCGUGCCCGAGACCCGAGGCUUGAGUGACAACUUGAGGACAAGGCGGUGCCUCGACAAGAUUUCACACAGCAGCUACGCGGGCCAGAGAAGCAGCACCACAUGGUGUGGCAGGAGAAGGAGGACAUGCACAAGCAAUUGGUUGAAGCUUCAGAGACAUUGAAAUCCCAAGCCAAAGAACUGAAAGAUGCCCAUCAGCAGCAAAAGCUGGCCCUGCAGGAGUUCUUGGAGCUCAAUGAGCUCAUGGCAGAGCUCUACUCCCAGAAGCAGAAGGUGUGGGACAAGGAGGAGGAGAUGGAAGUAGCCAUGCAGAAAGCUGACAUGAUGUGGCAGGAGAUCUGAAGAUCCAAGAAGCUCAGAAAGAGGAUGCUGUUUAGCCAGAUGCGGUGGCUCACGCCUGUAAUCCCAGCACUUUGGGAGGUCGAGGCGGGCGGAUGGCCUGAGGUCAAGAGUUUGAGACCAGCCUGGCCAACAUGGUGAAACCCCGUCUCUAUUAAAAAUGCAAAAAUUAACCAGGCAUGGUAUUGGGUGCCUGUAAUCCUAGCUACUUGGGAGGCUGAAGCAGGAGAAUUGCUUGAACCUGGGAGGCGGAGGUUGCAGUGAGCCAAGAUCAUGCCACUGCACUCCAGCCUGGGCAACAAGAGCAAAACUCUGUCUCAAAAAAAAAAG